RNAcentral lists this non-coding RNA (30 nucleotides) under Mus musculus (house mouse). Lineage: Eukaryota; Metazoa; Chordata; Mammalia; Rodentia; Muridae. The record is from RNAcentral.
UUAAAAUCAAACCUCAAGGCUAUUGAACAA